UACGAAGGGGGCUAGCGUUGCUCGGAAUCACUGGGCGUAAAGGGUGCGUAGGCGGCUUUUUAAGUCAGGGGUGAAAUCCUGGAGCUCAACUCCAGAACUGCCUUUGAUACUGGGAAGCUUGAGUCCGGGAGAGGUGAGUGGAACUCCGAGUGUAGAGGUGAAAUUCGUAGAUAUUCGGAAGAACACCAGUGGCGAAGGCGGCUCACUGGCCCGGUACUGACGCUGAGGUGCGAAAGCGUGGGGAGCAAACAGG
RNAcentral lists this ribosomal RNA (253 nucleotides) under uncultured bacterium. RNAcentral describes it as "partial 16S ribosomal RNA". It matches the Rfam family "Bacterial small subunit ribosomal RNA", at positions 524 to 776 of the family's 1533-position model. The record is from RNAcentral.